Molecule: long non-coding RNA, 731 nt
Organism: Xiphophorus couchianus (Monterrey platyfish)
Lineage: Eukaryota; Metazoa; Chordata; Actinopteri; Cyprinodontiformes; Poeciliidae
Exons: 3
Source: RefSeq, a predicted model, not a curated record
UUUGCUGGACUGCUUUCUUGGCAGACAAUUUCCCAGUACUCUUAAUUCCCAGAUUAUUUUGGUGUAUAGAAGGCAACACCUGCCGUCUCCAUGACGCUCAUUCAUUUCUGUUCGCCGCCAUAUUUUUAAACCUAGUCCGGCUGCUCUAUGCUUUUAAUUUUUAACAUUUGCUACUCAUUUUCAUCCCAGUUGUGUUUCUACCGGUAAGAAAUGCUUUUAAUAACAAGAAGUCAACUGUUGAGCUUACUUUUGUCCUCAUUAAAGUUCAUUUAGCGGAGACACCAAGUUUUAUUAUCGAAGUAGGCGGUUGAUGCGACGCGUUCAGGGUCCUCGUCAUUAUCGGUAAUUACUUGUUACCGGGUUCGGAGAUGUUUGCACUAGAAAUAUGGAAAUCUAUAUAUUCAAUGGACGGUUUACGCCUCGAACUGGACCGUCCGAACGGAUUAACGGUUCCGGUUGCUGCUAGUAGUUUCGAGAAGGAGUACAACGACAAGGUGAGGGACGCAGAGACCUGAUUGGAGUUUCUACUGAACAACAACAAAAACUGAUUUCUAAACAUCUUUUGACUGAAACGAAGUGGACCUAAACUUACUCGGUGAAGCCGGCCGGUCAGGUGAAGAUGGGCAGUGCCGGGUCUGAGGUGUGUUUCUGGAUCUCAGCGGGUCCUGAGGUCAGGUCCAGGUUCACUGGCAAAGACGGGAAGCGGACCGUCUCACACAGGCUCAUGUUGG